Molecule: non-coding RNA, 27 nt
Filed under: Cricetulus griseus (Chinese hamster)
Lineage: Eukaryota; Metazoa; Chordata; Mammalia; Rodentia; Cricetidae
Source: RNAcentral
CUUCUUAAGAUUUUUCAGGUACCCCUC